This 102-nucleotide ribosomal RNA is filed under the name uncultured bacterium. RNAcentral describes it as "partial 16S ribosomal RNA". It matches the Rfam family "Bacterial small subunit ribosomal RNA", at positions 248 to 353 of the family's 1533-position model. The record is from RNAcentral.
GUAGGUAAGGCUCACCUAGGCGACGAUCCCUAGCUGGUCUGAGAGGAUGACCAGCCACACUGGAACUGAGACACGGUCCAGACUCCUACGGGAGGCAGCAUG